GACGAACGCUGGCGGCGUGCCCAACACAUGCAAGUCGAGCGAAUGAAGUUCCUUCGGGAAUGGAUUUAGCGGCGGACGGGUGAGUAACACGUGGGCAACCUGCCUCAUAGAGGGGAAUAGCCUCCCGAAAGGGAGAUUAAUACCGCAUAAGAUUGUAGUACCGCAUGAUACAGCAAUUAAAGGAGCAAUCCGCUAUGAGAUGGGCCCGCGGCGCAUUAGCUAGUUGGUGAGUAAAUGGCUCACCAAGGCGACGAUGCGUAGCCGACCUGAGAGGGUGAUCGGCCACAUUGGGACUGAGACACGGCCCAGACUCCUACGGGAGGCAGCAGUGGGGAAUAUUGCACAAUGGGGGAAACCCUGAUGCAGCAACGCCGCGUGAGUGAUGACGGCCUUCGGGUUGUAAAGCUCUGUCUUCAGGGACGAUAAUGACGGUACCUGAGGAGGAAGCCACGGCUAACUACGUG
This 464-nucleotide ribosomal RNA is filed under the name uncultured bacterium. RNAcentral describes it as "partial 16S ribosomal RNA". It matches the Rfam family "Bacterial small subunit ribosomal RNA", at positions 28 to 507 of the family's 1533-position model. The record is from RNAcentral.